GAAUCCCUCAACAGAGCCGAGGAAAACGAAGAUCAAAAUUGCGAAAGCAACCAUGAAAACACCAACAUACUGGUACAUCGUAAAGAGAAAUGAGGUUGCUCCUUCAGAGAUAGCGUUUUGAAUUUCAGCGCAUUUUUGAACAACGUUAUGGUCAUUGAUGCCUUCUUCUUCUUCAAUGAGAGAUUCAGCAUAUCCAUUCUUAUCGUCGCCGGAGGAAUGAGACUUAUCAGUACCGACCGUAACUUUGGAGACGAGAUACCACUGGAAGAGCGAGAAAGCUAUGCCGACAACGGCACAUACCGGAAUCAAAAUCUCCAUUCCGAGAUCUGUUAAAAUAGUCACUCCCAUCUUUGCCGACAAAAAUAAACUCCGACCGGCAGACUACCGGAGCUCCGGCCAAUAAAAAUAAAGAAAAAAAUAGAGAGAAAAGAUAAAUGAAAAAU
Molecule: unclassified non-coding RNA, 443 nt
Filed under: Hevea brasiliensis (rubber tree)
Lineage: Eukaryota; Viridiplantae; Streptophyta; Magnoliopsida; Malpighiales; Euphorbiaceae
Source: RNAcentral